AACUCCCCUUCUCUUUUUAUUUUGUUUCUUUCUCUCUCUCUCUCUACAACCCUAGGUGUUGGUUAUGUGAAGAAGAAAGUGGGGAAGUGCAGUUUUUGAUGAUUAGAGCUGAGAAGAAGAAGUUUGAGCAGGAAAAUUGGUUUGUAAAGCAUCAACUAGAGGAAGGUUCGGCGUGCUCGGAAGCUUAAAUUGAUAUUUCGACAGACCUACGACGUGCUAAUUAAGAAACGCUUCGUUCUAGCUUCGUUUGCAUCGAGCCGCGAGAGCUAGUUGUUUAUACAUCCCAAGACGUUAGUUCUAGUCUUUCGGCAUCCCUACGAGAUCCCAGCGCGAGCGGAGCGGCCGAGGAUUGUGGCAAGAGCCCGGCAUCUUAGCUAGUGGACUCCAGAGUAUAGUUAUAUACCCAUUUUGGUUUCAUGUUGAAUCUAUUUGAUGUUAAAGAAACAUGUAAAAGGAUGUAUAGAUAAGCAUGUAAAUGAUGUAAAUAGCUAAAUGUUAUAGUUAUUCAGCUUUACAGUUUGGAUUAAA
This is a long non-coding RNA of Ananas comosus (pineapple), 528 nucleotides long. RefSeq lists it as uncharacterized. The record is from RefSeq and is a predicted model, not a curated record. NCBI's taxonomy places the organism in Eukaryota, Viridiplantae, Streptophyta, Magnoliopsida, Poales, Bromeliaceae. The transcript is spliced from 3 exons.